Molecule: ribosomal RNA, 421 nt
Filed under: Fusobacteriota bacterium
Lineage: Bacteria; Fusobacteriati; Fusobacteriota
Description: Fusobacteria bacterium partial 16S ribosomal RNA
Rfam family: Bacterial small subunit ribosomal RNA
Source: RNAcentral
UGGGGAAUAUUGCACAAUGGACGGAAGUUUGAUGCAGCGACGCCGCGUGGAGGGUGUAGGCCUUCGGGUUGUGAACUCCUUUUUCUCGCGAAAAAGGCACAGUUUUGGCUGUGUUGAUGGUAGUGGGGGAAGAAGCGCCGGCUAACUACGUGCCAGCAGCCGCGGUAAUACGUAGGGCGCGAGCGUUGUCCGGAUUUAUUGGGCGUAAAGAGCUCGUAGGUGGUUCGUCGCGUCUGUCGUGAAAGCCAGCAGCUUAACUGUUGGUCUGCGGUGGUUACGGGCGGGCUUGAGUGCGGUAGGGGUGACUGGAAUUCCUGGUGUAGCGGUGGAAUGCGCAGAUAUCAGGAGGAACACCGAUGGCGAAGGCAGGUCACUGGGCCGUUACUGACACUGAGGAGCGAAAGCGUGGGGAGCGAACAGG